Molecule: ribosomal RNA, 1474 nt
Filed under: Chromobacterium amazonense
Lineage: Bacteria; Pseudomonadati; Pseudomonadota; Betaproteobacteria; Neisseriales; Chromobacteriaceae
Description: bacterial SSU rRNA
Rfam family: Bacterial small subunit ribosomal RNA
Source: RNAcentral
AGAGUUUGAUCCUGGGGGAGAUUGUAUGCCGGCUGCAUGCUGUCCACAUGCAGGUCAAACCGCAGCACGGGAACUUGCUCCUGGUGGCGAUUGGCAAACGGGUGAGUAAUGCAUCGAAAUGUACCGUGUAAAGGGGAAUAGCUCGGCGAAACCCGGAUUAAUACCGCAUACGCCCUGAGGGGAAAAGCGGGGGACCAAAAGACCUCGCGUUAUACGAGCAGCCGAAGUCUGAUAAGCUAGUUGGUGAGGUAAGAGCUCACCAAGGCGACGAUCAGUAGCGGGUCUGAGAGGAUGAUCCGCCACACUGGGACUGAGACACGGCCCAGACUCCUACGGGAGGCAGCAGUGGGGAAUUUUGGACAAUGGGCGCAAGCCUGAUCCAGCCAUGCCGCGUGUCUGAAGAAGGCCUUCGGGUUGUAAAGGACUUUUGUUCGGGAGGAAAUCCCGCUGGUUAAUACCCGGCGGGGAUGACAGUACCGGAAGAAUAAGCACCGGCUAACUACGUGCCAGCAGCCGCGGUAAUACGUAGGGUGCAAGCGUUAAUCGGAAUUACUGGGCGUAAAGCGUGCGCAGGCGGUUGUGCAAGUCUGAUGUGAAAGCCCCGGGCUCAACCUGGGAACGGCAUUGGAGACUGCACGACUAGAGUGCGUCAGAGGGGGGUAGAAUUCCGCGUGUAGCAGUGAAAUGCGUAGAGAUGCGGAGGAAUACCGAUGGCGAAGGCAGCCCCCUGGGAUGACACUGACGCUCAUGCACGAAAGCGUGGGGAGCAAACAGGAUUAGAUACCCUGGUAGUCCACGCCCUAAACGAUGUCAACUAGCUGUUGGGGGUUUGAAUCCUUGGUAGCGUAGCUAACGCGUGAAGUUGACCGCCUGGGGAGUACGGCCGCAAGGUUAAAACUCAAAGGAAUUGACGGGGACCCGCACAAGCGGUGGAUGAUGUGGAUUAAUUCGAUGCAACGCGAAAAACCUUACCUGCUCUUGACAUGUACGGAACUUGCCAGAGAUGGCUUGGUGCCCGAAAGGGAGCCGUAACACAGGUGCUGCAUGGCUGUCGUCAGCUCGUGUCGUGAGAUGUUGGGUUAAGUCCCGCAACGAGCGCAACCCUUGUCAUUAGUUGCCAUCAUUCAGUUGGGCACUCUAAUGAGACUGCCGGUGACAAACCGGAGGAAGGUGGGGAUGACGUCAAGUCCUCAUGGCCCUUAUGAGCAGGGCUUCACACUUCAUACAAUGGUCGGUACAGAGGGUCGCGAAACCGCGAGGUGGAGCCAAUCUCAUAAAACCGAUCGUAGUCCGGAUCGCACUCUGCAACUCGAGUGCGUGAAGUCGGAAUCCCUAGUAAUCCCAAAUCACCAUGCUGCGGUGAAUACUUUCCCGGGUCUUGAACACACCGCCCCGCUAACCAAGGGAGUGAGUUUCACCAGAAGUGGGUAGGCUAACCGCAAGGAGGCCGCUUACCACUGUGGGAUUCAUUAUU